This 465-nucleotide ribosomal RNA is filed under the name Vreelandella stevensii. Its description in RNAcentral is "partial 16S ribosomal RNA". It matches the Rfam family "Bacterial small subunit ribosomal RNA", at positions 338 to 795 of the family's 1533-position model. Lineage: Bacteria; Pseudomonadati; Pseudomonadota; Gammaproteobacteria; Oceanospirillales; Halomonadaceae. The record is from RNAcentral.
CCUACGGGAGGCAGCAGUGGGGAAUAUUGGACAAUGGGGGGAACCCUGAUCCAGCCAUGCCGCGUGUGUGAAGAAGGCCCUCGGGUUGUAAAGCACUUUCAGUGAGGAAGAACGCCUGGUGGUUAAUACCCAUCAGGAAAGACAUCACUCACAGAAGAAGCACCGGCUAACUCCGUGCCAGCAGCCGCGGUAAUACGGAGGGUGCGAGCGUUAAUCGGAAUUACUGGGCGUAAAGCGCGCGUAGGUGGCUUGAUAAGCCGGUUGUGAAAGCCCCGGGCUCAACCUGGGAACGGCAUCCGGAACUGUCAAGCUAGAGCGCAGGAGAGGAAGGUAGAAUUCCCGGUGUAGCGGUGAAAUGCGUAGAGAUCGGGAGGAAUACCAGUGGCGAAGGCGGCCUUCUGGACUGACACUGACACUGAGGUGCGAAAGCGUGGGUAGCAAACAGGAUUAGAUACCCUUGUAGUC